Molecule: unclassified non-coding RNA, 341 nt
Filed under: soil metagenome
Description: partial contains 5.8S ribosomal RNA, internal transcribed spacer 2, and large subunit ribosomal RNA
Rfam family: 5.8S ribosomal RNA (bases 1-120)
Source: RNAcentral
GAUGAAGAACGCAGCGAAAUGCGAUAAGUAGUGUGAAUUGCAGAAUUCAGUGAAUCAUCGAAUCUUUGAACGCACAUUGCGCCCUUUGGUAUUCCAAAGGGCAUGCCUGUUCGAGCGUCAUUUGUACCCUCAAGCUUUGCUUGGUGUUGGGCGUCUUGUCUCUAGCUUUGCUGGAGACUCGCCUUAAAGUAAUUGGCAGCCGGCCUACUGGUUUCGGAGCGCAGCACAAGUCGCACUCUCUAACAGCAAAGGUCUAGCAUCCAUUAAGCCUUUUUUUCAACUUUUGACCUCGGAUCAGGUAGGGAUACCCGCUGAACUUAAGCAUAUCAAUAAGCGGAGGA